This 129-nucleotide ribosomal RNA is filed under the name Natantiella ligneola. RNAcentral describes it as "partial small subunit ribosomal RNA". It matches the Rfam family "Eukaryotic small subunit ribosomal RNA", at positions 1352 to 1493 of the family's 1831-position model. The record is from RNAcentral. Lineage: Eukaryota; Fungi; Ascomycota; Sordariomycetes.
UAAAUAGCCCGUAUUGCUUUGGCAGUACGCUGGCUUCUUAGAGGGACUAUCGGCUCAAGCCGAUGGAAGUUUGAGGCAAUAACAGGUCUGUGAUGCCCUUAGAUGUUCUGGGCCGCACGGUACGUAUUU